Molecule: ribosomal RNA, 301 nt
Filed under: uncultured bacterium
Lineage: Bacteria
Description: partial 16S ribosomal RNA
Rfam family: Bacterial small subunit ribosomal RNA
Source: RNAcentral
CAGUAGCCGCGGUAAUACGGAGGGUGCAAGCGUUAAUCGGAAUUACUGGGCGUAAAGCGCACGCAGGCGGUCUGUCAAGUCAGAUGUGAAAUCCCCGGGCUUAACCUGGGAACUGCAUUUGAAACUGGCAGGCUAGAGUCUUGUAGAGGGGGGUAGAAUUCCAGGUGUAGCGGUGAAAUGCGUAGAGAUCUGGAGGAAUACCGGUGGCGAAGGCGGCCCCCUGGACAAAGACUGACGCUCAGGUGCGAAAGCGUGGGGAGCAAACAGGAUUAGAUACCCCUGUAGUCCCUGUCUCUUAUAA